AGUUUGAUCCUGGCUCAGAUUGAACGCUGGCGGCAGGCCUAACACAUGCAAGUCGAGCGGAAACGACACUAACAAUCCUUCGGGUGCGUUAAUGGGCGUCGAGCGGCGGACGGGUGAGUAAUGCCUAGGAAAUUGCCUUGAUGUGGGGGAUAACCAUUGGAAACGAUGGCUAAUACCGCAUGAUGCCUACGGGCCAAAGAGGGGGACCUUCGGGCCUCUCGCGUCAAGAUAUGCCUAGGUGGGAUUAGCUAGUUGGUGAGGUAAUGGCUCACCAAGGCGACGAUCCCUAGCUGGUCUGAGAGGAUGAUCAGCCACACUGGAACUGAGACACGGUCCAGACUCCUACGGGAGGCAGCAGUGGGGAAUAUUGCACAAUGGGCGAAAGCCUGAUGCAGCCAUGCCGCGUGUAUGAAGAAGGCCUUCGGGUUGUAAAGUACUUUCAGUUGUGAGGAAGGGUGUGUAGUUAAUAGCUGCGCAUCUUGACGUUAGCAACAGAAGAAGCACCG
This 506-nucleotide ribosomal RNA is filed under the name Vibrio sp. Etwt2.M7p-b. RNAcentral describes it as "bacterial SSU rRNA". It matches the Rfam family "Bacterial small subunit ribosomal RNA", at positions 10 to 495 of the family's 1533-position model. Lineage: Bacteria; Pseudomonadati; Pseudomonadota; Gammaproteobacteria; Vibrionales; Vibrionaceae. The record is from RNAcentral.